Molecule: ribosomal RNA, 668 nt
Filed under: bacterium SCSIO13168
Lineage: Bacteria
Description: bacterial SSU rRNA
Rfam family: Bacterial small subunit ribosomal RNA
Source: RNAcentral
UGCAAGUCGAGCGGAUGACGAGAGCUUGCUCUCUGAUUUUAGCGGCGGACGGGUGAGUAACACGUGGGCAACCUGCCCUACAGAUGGGGAUAACUCCGGGAAACCGGGGCUAAUACCGAAUAAUCAGUUUGUCCGCAUGGACAAACUCUGAAAGACGGUUUCGGCUGUCACUGUAGGAUGGGCCCGCGGCGCAUUAGCUAGUUGGUGGGGUAAUGGCCUACCAAGGCAACGAUGCGUAGCCGACCUGAGAGGGUGAUCGGCCACACUGGGACUGAGACACGGCCCAGACUCCUACGGGAGGCAGCAGUAGGGAAUCUUCCACAAUGGACGAAAGUCUGAUGGAGCAAUGCCGCGUGAGCGAAGAAGGUUUUCGGAUCGUAAAGCUCUGUUGUAAGGGAAGAACACGUACGGGAGUAACUGCCCGUGCCAUGACGGUACCUUAUUAGAAAGCCACGGCUAACUACGUGCCAGCAGCCGCGGUAAUACGUAGGUGGCAAGCGUUGUCCGGAAUUAUUGGGCGUAAAGCGCGCGCAGGCGGUUCUUUAAGUCUGAUGUGAAAGCCCACGGCUCAACCGUGGAGGGUCAUUGGAAACUGGAGAACUUGAGUACAGAAGAGGAAAGCGGAAUUCCACGUGUAGCGGUGAAAUGCGUAGAGAUGUGGAGGAACA